GGGCGCGCGUUGUCCGGAAUUAUUGGGCGUAAAGAGCUCGUAGGCGGCUGGUCGCGUCUGCCGUGAAAGCCCUGGGCUUAACUGGGGGUCUGCGGUGGAUACGGGCCGGCUAGAGGUAGGUAGGGGAGAACGGAAUUCCUGGUGUAGCGGUGAAAUGCGCAGAUAUCAGGAGGAACACCGGUGGCGAAGGCGGUUCUCUGGGCCUAUCCUGACGCUGAGGAGCGAAAGCGUGGGGAGCGAACAGGAUUAGAUACCCUGGUAGUCCACGCUGUAAACGUUGGGCGCUAGGUGUGGGGGUCUUCCACGAUCCCGUGCCGGAGCUAACGCAUUAAGCGCCCCGCCUGGGGAGUACGGCCGCAAGGCUAAAACUCAAAGGAAUUGACGGGGGCC
RNAcentral lists this ribosomal RNA (390 nucleotides) under uncultured actinomycete. RNAcentral describes it as "bacterial SSU rRNA". It matches the Rfam family "Bacterial small subunit ribosomal RNA", at positions 532 to 921 of the family's 1533-position model. The record is from RNAcentral. Lineage: Bacteria; Bacillati; Actinomycetota; Actinomycetes; Actinomycetales.